UUACGGCCAUAUCAUGUUGAAAUACCUGUUCCCGUACGAUCACCGAAGUUAAGCAACGUCGAGCCUGGUUAGUACCUAGAUGAAUGACCGCUUGGGAAUACCAAGUGUUGUAAG
Molecule: non-coding RNA, 114 nt
Organism: Acanthosepion pharaonis
Lineage: Eukaryota; Metazoa; Mollusca; Cephalopoda; Sepiida; Sepiidae
Source: the annotation of a GenBank genome assembly